Molecule: ribosomal RNA, 630 nt
Filed under: bacterium KS112
Lineage: Bacteria
Description: bacterial SSU rRNA
Rfam family: Bacterial small subunit ribosomal RNA
Source: RNAcentral
AGCUUGCUUUUGAAGAUGACGAGCGGCGGACGGGUGAGUAAUGCCUGGGAAUUUGCCCAUUUGUGGGGGAUAACAGUUGGAAACGACUGCUAAUACCGCAUACGCCCUACGGGGGAAAGCAGGGGACCUUCGGGCCUUGCGCUGAUGGAUAAGCCCAGGUGGGAUUAGCUAGUAGGUGAGGUAAAGGCUCACCUAGGCGACGAUCCCUAGCUGGUCUGAGAGGAUGAUCAGCCACACUGGGACUGAGACACGGCCCAGACUCCUACGGGAGGCAGCAGUGGGGAAUAUUGCACAAUGGGGGAAACCCUGAUGCAGCCAUGCCGCGUGUGUGAAGAAGGCCUUCGGGUUGUAAAGCACUUUCAGCGAGGAGGAAAGGGUGUAAGUUAAUACCUUACAUCUGUGACGUUACUCGCAGAAGAAGCACCGGCUAACUCCGUGCCAGCAGCCGCGGUAAUACGGAGGGUGCGAGCGUUAAUCGGAAUUACUGGGCGUAAAGCGUGCGCAGGCGGUUUGUUAAGCGAGAUGUGAAAGCCCCGGGCUCAACCUGGGAACCGCAUUUCGAACUGGCAAACUAGAGUCUUGUAGAGGGGGGUAGAAUUCCAGGUGUAGCGGUGAAAUGCGUAGAGAUCU